UACAGAGGGUGCAAGCGUUGUUCGGAAUUAUUGGGCGUAAAGGGCGCGUAGGCGGUUCGGCAAGUCUCUAGUGAAAUCUCUGGGCUCAACUCAGAGUCUGCUGGGGAAACUGCCGGGCUUGAGUGUGGGAGAGGAGAGUGGAAUUCCCGGUGUAGCGGUGAAAUGCGUAGAUAUCUGGAGGAAUACCGGUGGCGAAGGCGGCAUCCUGGACCGACAUUGACGCUGAUGAGCGAAAGCUAGGGGAGCAAACGGG
Molecule: ribosomal RNA, 253 nt
Filed under: uncultured bacterium
Lineage: Bacteria
Description: partial 16S ribosomal RNA
Rfam family: Bacterial small subunit ribosomal RNA
Source: RNAcentral